ACCACCAUCCUGUUUGUUUAACACAAGCACUGAUGCCUGGAGAUUUCCACUUAAGAAAGGACUAUUGCUAAGUCCUAGAAGUUUUGGGCAGUGUGAGGGGCGAUGUGCAUUAACUUUUGUGGGAUUUAAUGAAGCAAGAUUUAACAGCAUUUCAUAUCAGCAUUUGGUGGCUCCCCUGCUGUGUCAUAGAAGGACCGAAUAAGAGGGAACACUGGAAAACAGUCAGAGAUGAUCUCACAGUGAUGACUUAACUCCUACAGGCCCAAUUCUUCCAAUGAAUCUCAGGCUACCAAGAAAUGCCCUUGCUUCAACAUGUUGGUUGGUAUAGGAAUACUUUGCUGUAUAAUAUACUAUCUUCUGAGUUUGUUAAAAAUAGGAGAGGUUUAGCUGCCCAGGAUGGCUGAUUCACCCCAAAGUAAGGCAUGUGUAAGAGGCCUCAAAAAGUCUGUAAUGAUUUGUAAACCAGUAUAUCUAGCUUUGGAAUUGAUUUUCUUUUCUUUUCAUUUAGGAUACUGGGGUGUAUGCUAAUGAGAAAGGGUGUGGCUUUGAGUAGAAAGGG
This is a long non-coding RNA of Mus musculus (house mouse), 559 nucleotides long. RefSeq annotates it as predicted gene, 54082. The record is from RefSeq and is a predicted model, not a curated record. Lineage: Eukaryota; Metazoa; Chordata; Mammalia; Rodentia; Muridae. The transcript is spliced from 3 exons.